CAACACUGAGCUUUUAGACGAGGGAAUAAAGUUAGCCAGCAUCAAGGACGAACGAUAGAGAGUCCUUUGCGCGUUAAAAAGUGUGCUAACACAGAGUUGUCUGAAUGUUGAGUGUUGAAUAUCUGAUUAGUGGCGGACGGGUGAGUAACGCGUGGGGAACCUGCCCUAUACAGGGGGAUAGCCUCGGGAAACCGGGAUUAAUACCCCAUAAAACUCUAGUAUCGCAUGAUACGUGAGUCAAAGCUGAGGCGGUAUAGGAUGGCCCCGCGUCUGAUUAGCUAGUUGGUGAGGUAACGGCUCACCAAGGCGACGAUCAGUAGCCGGCCUGAGAGGGUGGACGGCCACACUGGAACUGAGACACGGUCCAGACUCCUACGGGAGGCAGCAGUGGGGAAUAUUGCACAAUGGGGGAAACCCUGAUGCAGCGACGCCGCGUGAGCGAAGAAGGCCUUCGGGUCGUAAAGCUCUGUCCUAAGGGAAGAAAAGGACGGUACCUUAGGAGGAAGCCCCGGCUAACUACGUG
RNAcentral lists this ribosomal RNA (523 nucleotides) under uncultured bacterium. RNAcentral describes it as "bacterial SSU rRNA". It matches the Rfam family "Bacterial small subunit ribosomal RNA", at positions 1 to 507 of the family's 1533-position model. The record is from RNAcentral.